RNAcentral lists this ribosomal RNA (231 nucleotides) under uncultured bacterium. RNAcentral's name for it is "partial 16S ribosomal RNA". It matches the Rfam family "Bacterial small subunit ribosomal RNA", at positions 118 to 350 of the family's 1533-position model. The record is from RNAcentral.
UGAGCAACCUGCCCCUGGCUCUGGGAUAACCCCGGGAAACCGGAGCUAAUACCGGAUACGAGACCGAUUGGCAUCUUUACGGUCUGGAAAGUUUUUCGGCCAGGGAUGGGCUCGCGGCCUAUCAGCUUGUUGGUGGGGUAACGGCCCACCAAGGCGACGACGGGUAGCCGGCCUGAGAGGGCGACCGGCCACACUGGGACUGAGACACGGCCCAGACUCCUACGGGAGGCA